Molecule: transfer RNA, 72 nt
Filed under: Anneissia japonica
Lineage: Eukaryota; Metazoa; Echinodermata; Crinoidea; Comatulida; Comatulidae
Description: tRNA-Ser
Rfam family: tRNA
About the family: Transfer RNA (tRNA) molecules are approximately 80 nucleotides in length. Their secondary structure includes four short double-helical elements and three loops (D, anti-codon, and T loops).
Source: RNAcentral
GCCUCUGUGGUCUAAUGGUAUGACGCUCGCCUUGACAGCGAGAGGUCGCAGGUUCGAAUCCUGUCGGAGGCA